CCUACGGGAGGCAGCAGUGGGGAAUAUUGCGCAAUGGGGGAAACCCUGACGCAGCAACGCCGCGUGAGUGAGGAAGGACUUCGGUCUGUAAAGCUCUGUUAAUGAGGAAAAAUGGUAGUUGGUCUAAUAGGCCGAUUAUUUGAUGGUACUCAUAGAGGAAGCACCGGCUAACUUCGUGCCAGCAGCCGCGGUAAUACGAAGGGUGCAAGCGUUGUUCGGAUUUAUUGGGCGUAAAGCGCGCGUAGGCGGACCUGCAAGUAAGAUGUGAAAUCUCGAGGCUCAACCUCGAAACUGCGUCUUAAACUACAGGUCUAGAAUCUCGGAGGGGGAAGGGGAAUUUCGCAUGUAGGGGUAAAAUCCGUAGAUAUGCGAAGGAACACCAGAGGCGAAGGCGCCUUCCUGGACGAGUAUUGACGCUGAGGCGCGAAAGCGUGGGGAUCAAACAGGAUUAGAUACCCUGGUAGUCCACGCUGUAAACGAUGAACACUAGGUAUUGGAGGAUUUGACCCCUUCAGUGCCGUAGCUAACGCGUUAAGUGUUCCGCCUGGGAAGUACGGUCGCAAGACUAAAACUUAAGAGUAGUGACGNGNGAGAGCGACGACGACGACGACGAGGAGGAG
This 620-nucleotide ribosomal RNA is filed under the name uncultured bacterium. Its description in RNAcentral is "bacterial SSU rRNA". It matches the Rfam family "Bacterial small subunit ribosomal RNA", at positions 338 to 949 of the family's 1533-position model. The record is from RNAcentral.